This 378-nucleotide small RNA is filed under the name Vigna angularis var. angularis. RNAcentral's name for it is "Non-protein coding transcript". The record is from RNAcentral. Lineage: Eukaryota; Viridiplantae; Streptophyta; Magnoliopsida; Fabales; Fabaceae.
CUCUAUCAUUGUCCUCUCCAAAACCCAUUCUUCUCUCUAGAUUUCCCCUCCAUUGAGUCACUGGAUUCCCAUUCCGCAGACGUCUAGGCGAUCUUUGCAUCAAGGGCUCCAAUUUUCACCGAUUGCAUUUGCGAUUUCGUAAGGUGCUGUCAAUUUUUCUAGAGUGCCUUUGGAUUUCCUCUUGAGUUUAGCUACUGGAAAUUUAAGUAGGUGAUGAUGUACCUUUGGAGCAAGCUUUGGAAGUUGAGGAAGACCCAGCCCCUAGUGCUUAGGAUUUCUACUAGCUCUUAAUUUAAAUAGCUCUUUAUUUUGAAAGACUUCUAGCCUUCAUUUUAUCAUGAUUUGUAUUUUGGAAACACUCUUUAGGUCCCAUUGAAC